Long non-coding RNA from Austrofundulus limnaeus, 633 nucleotides. RefSeq lists it as uncharacterized. The record is from RefSeq and is a predicted model, not a curated record. The transcript has 3 exons. Lineage: Eukaryota; Metazoa; Chordata; Actinopteri; Cyprinodontiformes; Rivulidae.
CUUCAGCAUGAGGGCAUCAAACACCUCCUCUGAUUCUUUGCGCACGUACAGCAGGACUGUGUGGUGAAAAGUGAAAGAAGACYGAGGUCUCACAGGUUGGACAAUAUCUGGAUCACUGAACUCCAGUCGAAAAUGAGGUACUUUCAGAAARGUAAAGACAACAGUGUGUGAGCCGACGCACCUCACAUGAGGGCCAAACGAAGACAAUCGCGGAUGGGACUGCUUGGCUGACUUCAGCGACUGAAGGCGGUUAUUGUUGAAGGCGUGAGAGACGCCCAAACAAGCUCUGCAACUUGUCACCUGCUUGAGCCGCCCCCAUCUGCCCGGUCCAGUUCUGCUUCAGUCUGAGAGCUCAGCAGCAAUCACAGCUCGUCACUCUUCGCCGCAAAGAUUAGCUCAACUAAACGUCGUUCAAAUAUCAGAAAGUUCAAUGCAUAUUCAGAAUGGCAUCUUAGAGUGAUAUUUCUGAUCUUUUGAAACAGGGUUUAUUUAGAAAAUUUAAACCUCUUGCUCAUGUUGGCCCCUUUGUGUUAUUUCUGUUCUUUUAAAAGUUGUUCAAGACACAUAAAAACAUCUAAAAAGUAUAUUUAUUACAUUUUUCACUUAAGCACAGUUUUGUUAGCGAUGCAAUGC